Molecule: long non-coding RNA, 1026 nt
Filed under: Sorghum bicolor (sorghum)
Lineage: Eukaryota; Viridiplantae; Streptophyta; Magnoliopsida; Poales; Poaceae
Description: long non-coding RNA (SBIC_LNC007131)
Source: RNAcentral
UCGAUCUUCUCUCAGGAAAUAGAAAAAGCAGAGCAGAUGAGAGGGGAAGGGGAGGCGCGACUGGUGUGGGCGAGCAAGCACGGCCAGGGGGGGCCGAUGUGGGCGCGCAGGCGGGGCUGAGUGAGGCCAGCACGGGUGGGUGUGGCGGAGAGGGCCGAAGCGGGCACGGGCGAGCGGGCGGCGCGGCUGGAGGGCCAGGGCGGGCGAGCGUGGGCACGUCAAGGCCACCCUCUCUCUGAAUCCACAGGAGCACGUCCACUAGGUCCUCCUCAUGCACGCUGCCCAUGGCUGCCCUCCCCUCCUCAUGUCUGAUGGUCACCGUGGUUUCUUCCCAAUGCUAAUUCAUUGUUUCUUCAUGCCUUGGAGUGAGGAAAGACGUGGUUUCUCUUCAAAGAAAUGAUUUCUUCCAUUUUUUUUCUUUUUUCUCAUCAGUUAGGCUGACAAUACUUUGCUUAUAUGAUAUUUUAUUUAAUUGAGAUAGAAACCACCGUUAAUGUCCUAUUGAGACUGCCCGUGUAGUACUCCACGCACCAAGUAAGCAUGCCUGAGAAAUUGGCGAAAAUCUUGCCAUGCAAGUGAUCGAGUUCGGAGUUGGCAUCAAUCCACUAAUAAUCUCCGAUCCCUUGGCAAUGAAUUAAUAAGAGCGAAGCAUGCUUAAUGGACGACGGCGAGCGAGACAGAGAAGUAUAACUUGCAUCGCAUGAAACUGAUCAGCUGGUAGAGACUGGAGACGACGGCUGGGCCAACUUGCGCCCGUGGAAAACAUACGCAACAAGACACCUGAUUACAUUAUUGUACAAGAUUCAAGACUCAAGACUCUGACAUGUAAUCAUCCGUGUUCGAUAUCGAUAUAUAUAAUCAUCCGUGUUCGGUAUCGAUAUAUACAUUACCUCACUUACAAGAUUCAAGACUCUGACAUGGCAACGUUAUAUAUCUAAGUAGAGACCAGUAACCACAAAUUUUAAUAAUGGAAAGAAGUAUCCAGCUUCAUCCCUAUUAAAGAGGAAUCACCAAAUUAUUACAGCC